UGGGAAUUUUGGACAAUUGGGCGAAAGCCUGAUCCAGCAAUGCCGCGUGUGUGAAGAAGGCCUUCGGGUUGUAAAGCACUUUUGUCCGGAAAGAAAUCCUUGGCUCUAAUACAGUCGGGGGAUGACGGUACCGGAAGAAUAAGCACCGGCUAACUACGUGCCAGCAGCCGCGGUAAUACGUAGGGUGCAAGCGUUAAUCGGAAUUACUGGGCGUAAAGCGUGCGCAGGCGGUUUGCUAAGACCGAUGUGAAAUCCCCGGGCUCAACCUGGGAACUGCAUGGUGACUGGCAGGGCUAGAGUAUGGCAGAGGGGGGUAGAAUUCCACGUGUAGCAGUGAAAUGCGUAGAGAUGUGGAGGAAUACCGAUGGCGAAGGCAGCCCCCUGGGCCAAGUACUGACGCUCAUGCACGAAAGCGUGGGGAGCAAAACAGGAUUUAGAUACCCCUGGUAGUCCACGCCCUAAANGAUGUCAACUAGUUGUUGGGGAUUCAUUUCCUUAGUAACAUAGCUAACGCGUGAAGUU
RNAcentral lists this ribosomal RNA (522 nucleotides) under uncultured bacterium. Its description in RNAcentral is "partial 16S ribosomal RNA". It matches the Rfam family "Bacterial small subunit ribosomal RNA", at positions 356 to 866 of the family's 1533-position model. The record is from RNAcentral.